Molecule: ribosomal RNA, 600 nt
Filed under: uncultured Actinobacteridae bacterium
Lineage: Bacteria; Bacillati; Actinomycetota; Actinomycetes
Description: bacterial SSU rRNA
Rfam family: Bacterial small subunit ribosomal RNA
Source: RNAcentral
GUGAGGUAACGGCUCACCAAGGCAACGACGGGUAGCUGGUCUGAGAGGACGAUCAGCCACACUGGGACUGAGACACGGCCCAGACUCCUACGGGAGGCAGCAGCAGGGAAUCUUGCGCAAUGGACGAAAGUCUGACGCAGCGAUGCCGCGUGGGGGAUGACGGCCUUCGGGUUGUAAACCCCUUUCAGGAGGGACGAAAUUGACGGUACCUCCAGAAGAAGCCCCGGCCAACUACGUGCCAGCAGCCGCGGUAAUACGUAGGGGGCGAGCGUUGUCCGGAAUUAUUGGGCGUAAAGAGCUCGUAGGCGGCUUGGUAAGUCGGCCGUGAAAACCAAAGGCUCAACCUUUGGAUGUCGGUCGAUACUGCCAUGGCUAGAGUCCGGUAGAGGAGAGUGGAAUUCCCGGUGUAGCGGUGAAAUGCGCAGAUAUCGGGAGGAACACCAGUAGCGAAGGCGGCUCUCUGGGCCGGAACUGACGCUGAGGAGCGAAAGCGUGGGUAGCAAACAGGAUUAGAUACCCUGGUAGUCCACGCCGUAAACGUUGGGUACUAGGUGUGGCGUCUUAUCAACGGAUGCCGUGCCGAAGCUAACGCAUUAAGUA